CACCUCAGAUCACACGAGAUGACCCGCUGAAUUUAAGCAUAU
Molecule: ribosomal RNA, 42 nt
Filed under: Anelosimus eximius
Lineage: Eukaryota; Metazoa; Arthropoda; Arachnida; Araneae; Theridiidae
Description: partial 28S ribosomal RNA
Source: RNAcentral